RNAcentral lists this unclassified non-coding RNA (432 nucleotides) under Athalia rosae (coleseed sawfly). RNAcentral's name for it is "misc RNA ENSAEAG00005008335.1". The record is from RNAcentral. Lineage: Eukaryota; Metazoa; Arthropoda; Insecta; Hymenoptera; Athaliidae.
AUUCGGAUUCCUGAGAUCAAAAUACAUAAGGAUAGCAUGACAAACCCUUCCAAAAAAAAUCUGGAUCUUCAUCUCAGAUUUUGAGAAAAUUCCAAGGCUAUAGGCUUACUGUUUUUUUCGGCAAAAAAGUGAAGCAUUUGCCAGAAUAAUUUCGGGACGCUUUUUCUAUGUAAAAAAGCGUAUCGAACGAGAAGCCGUCAAUGAAAUUGAGCUGGCAUUCGGAUUCCUGAGAUCAAAAUACAUGAGGAUAGCAUGACAAACCCUUCCAAAAAAAAUCUGGAUCUUCAUCUCAGAUUUUGAGAAAAUUCCAAGGCUAUAGGCUUACUGUUUUUUUCGGCAAAAAAGUAAAGCAUUUGCUAGAAUAAUUCUAGGACGCUUUUCCUACGUGAAAAAGCGUAUCGAACAAGAGGCCGUCAAUGAAAUUGAGCUGGC